GUUGAAUACAGUAAUUGAGUUUUUGUUAAUUGGUUUUACAAUUGAUUAAUAAUAAAUUAGAUCAACGUUGAAUCCCUCCUUAUAAGUGAGAAUUGGUUUAAAUUAUUUAGAGAAGUGGAUAAUGAGAAAGGGACAUGGAACUCGACAAGUCUAAAUUACCUUUCAAAGGAUCUGGGCUAGAUUUUGGGCACAUACUCGUAGUCAUCGCCCAUUUAUUGGAGAAGACGAGCUUGAGAAAAAGCUUUGCUAUACCUGAAAACAACUGUGAACUGUCCCAAGAUUUUGCCAUUGUUCUUCCCCUCCUCCUUUUCCAGAAAAGAAUAAAAAAUAAAAAUUGUGGACUAGAUGCUGAGCAACAACAUCCAUCUUGCAAGAAAGAAGAGAGGAGGACCACAGCAUAUUCAACACUUCGCAUGCAUAUCCGUUCCACUGUUCCCUCCAUUCCAUACAGACAACCAUUAAAUUGCUGGCAAUUUUUUCUAUAAUGUGAUCUGCUAACUGAAUGUUUCAGUAGCAAUCAACUUCUAUAUGGCUGUACCUGCGCUUUACACUUACACAUUUCUAUUAUUCACACAGCUUUUGCUUCUGAAUUAAAUAAAUAGACUUCAACAUUGUCCGAAUUUUUAUCAGAAUAGGAUACUGAAAUUUGAACUCAAAUCUUUAUCAUUUUAAAAAUAAUUUAGUAUCACCUAAUCACAUUUACCAUACAAGAAAAUGCAAAAAAAAGUGAACUGCUAGUUUUAACAAUUUUGUAGACCGAGUUUGAUCUGAUCGCUUCUGAACAACCCGGAAACAAAGAAAGAUAGUUUCACAAAGAGCUAAACAAUAACACUACAAAUUCUGUUUCGUCUAUGAUGCAUAAUCUGGAACUGUUUAUUAAAGAAAUCCCAAAAUGCAGAAUAUCAUUUUUUAAAAAAUUUUUUAUACAUUUCUUUCCUUUUCACGGAAUAUAUAUGUUUUCAACAUCAUAUAGUAAAGCAGAACACAAUCAGAAAUAAGAACAAAUAUAUGCAGUAUGGCACUAAGAAAACGAGAAUUCUCUUAGAAAUUGGAUGACUGUACAUAAACAUAAACCAAAACCAUACACCUCCUCGAUUCUCAUUAUCUAUCAGAUGAUUCUCGAGGCAUAUUUAAACCUGAUUUUUCUUUUCCUUUUGUUAUGUCUAGUCAGUAAAAUGGGCUAGAUAUUAUAUGUGAAAGAAAUUAAACUUUAUAAAUGGACUGGAUCACAAGAACGGAUGAAUAUAGAAAAAAUUGUACCUCUCAAGGCUUUCUUGUUUAGCCUAAUGCUAAAGUUCAAAGUUGCUUUGCAAGUUAUGCAUUACCAAUCCUUAAAAAAGGCAAUACAUUCAAAUGGCAAAUACAAUAAAAUAACAUGAGAAUACUGCCAAUGAGCAGAUAAAUGAGCAGGCUAGCAAAAAUGCUAUCAAGCAAUAAAAGAACCACAAAAAUGGUUUCCUUCAAAGUUAAGACUAUUCAGGAAAGAAAAACACAUCAUAAAAACUAUUGAGAACCAGAAACAAAUCAAUAGAGAAACCAACGAAUCAUGCAUUGGAGCUGUAAUGCAAGCUAACUUAGAUCAUGAAUAAGGAAACGAAUACUGUAUUCCAUGAAUACUGACUUCAUGAAGGAGGAAAAGAAAUGGAACUGCAUGCAAUCAUUUCAAAUGCACACAAAUGGAUUACUAUAUAUCCAAA
RNAcentral lists this unclassified non-coding RNA (1697 nucleotides) under Hevea brasiliensis (rubber tree). The record is from RNAcentral. Lineage: Eukaryota; Viridiplantae; Streptophyta; Magnoliopsida; Malpighiales; Euphorbiaceae.